UACGUAGGGGGCAAGCGUUGUCCGGAUUUAUUGGGCGUAAAGAGCGUGUAGGCGGCCAGACAGGUCUGCUGUGAAAACUCGAGGCUCAACCUCGAGACGCCGGUGGAAACCGUUUGGCUAGAGUCCGGAAGAGGAGAGUGGAAUUCCUGGUGUAGCGGUGAAAUGCGCAGAUAUCAGGAGGAACACCAAUAGCGAAGGCAGCUCGCUGGGACGUUACUGACACUGAGGCGCGAAAGCGUGGGGAGCGAGCAGG
This 253-nucleotide ribosomal RNA is filed under the name uncultured prokaryote. RNAcentral describes it as "partial 16S ribosomal RNA". It matches the Rfam family "Bacterial small subunit ribosomal RNA", at positions 524 to 776 of the family's 1533-position model. The record is from RNAcentral.